UACCUGUUUGAUCCUUCCAGUAGUCAUAUGCUUGUCUUAAUGAUUAAUCCAUUUAUGUGCAAGUAUGAACAAAUUCAGACUGUGAAACUACGAAUGGCUUAUUAAAUCAGUUAUAGUUUAUUUGAUGGUAUCUACUACUCGAAUAACCAUAGUAAUUCUAAAGCUAAUACAUGCAGCAAACCCUUACUUCUAGAAGGGAUGCAUUUAUUAGAUAAAAGGUCGACGCGGUCUCUGCCUGUUGUUGUGAUAAUUCAUGAUAACUUGAUGGAUUGCACGGCUAUCGUGCCGGCGACGCAUCAUUCAAAUUUUGGCCCUAUCAACUUUCGAUGGUAAGAUAGUAUCCUACCAUGGUGGUGGCAGGUGAUGGAGAAUUAGGGUUUGAUUCAUGAGAGGGAGCCUGAUAUAUGGCUACCACAUCCAAGGAAGGUAGCAGGCGCGUAAAUUACCCAAUCCUGACACGGGGAGGUAGUGAUAAUAAAUAAUAAUACCGGGCUUAAUGAGUCUGGUAAUUCGAAUUAGUACAAUCUAAAUCCCUUAACGAGGAUCCAUUGGAGAGAAAGUCUGGUGCCAACAGUCGUGGUUAUUCCAACUCCAAUAACGUGUAUUUAAGUUGUUGCAGUUAAAAAUCUUAUAGUUGGACUUUAGGAUAGGCCGACCGGUCCGCCUAUCGUAUGCACCGGUCAUCUUGUCCUUUCUGUUGGUGAUGCACUCCUGGCUUUAACUGGCUAGGUCAUGCCUCUGGCGCUGUUACUUUUAAGAAAUUAGAGUGCUCAAAGUAAUCCUAUGCUAUGUAUACAUUAGCAUGGGAUAACAUUAUAGGAUUUUGGUCCUAUUACGUUGGCCUUCAGGAUCGGAGUAAUGAUUAAUAGGGACAGUCAGGGGCAUUUGUAUUUCAUAGUCAGAGGUGAAAUUCUUGGAUUUAAGAAAGAUGAACAACUGUGAAAGAAUUUUCUAAGGAUGUUUUUAUUAAUCAAGAAAGAAAGUUGGGGUCUCGAAGACGAUCAUAUACCAUCCUAGUCUCAACCAUAAACGAUGCCGACCAGGGAUCGAUGGAUGUUGCUUUUAGGACUCUUCGGACACCUUAUGAGAAAUCAAAGUUUUUGGGUUUCAGGGGGAGUAUGGUCGCAAGGCUAAAACUUAAAGGAAUUGAUGGAAAGGAACCACUAGGAGUGGAGCCUUCGGCUUAAUUUGAUUCAACACGGGGUUACUUACCAGUUCCAGACAUAGUAAGGAUUGACAAACUAAGAGCUCUUUUUUUAUUCUAUGGUGGUGGUGCAUGGCUGUUCUUAGUUAGAGGAGCGAUUUGUCUAGUUAAUUCCAUUAACAAAUGAGAUAUCAGCCUACUAACUAGCUAUGUGGAGGUAUCCCUUCGCGGCCAGCUUCUUAGAGGAACUGCGGUCUUUUAGGCCACGGAAGUUUGUGGAAAUAAUAGGUUUGGGAUGCCCAUAGAUGUUCUGGGCCGCAUGCGCACUACACUGAUGUAUUCAAUGAGUUUAUAGCCUUGGCCGACAGGCGCAGGUAAUCUUUGAAAUUUCAUCGUGAUAGGGAUAGAUCAUUGCAAUUUUUGUUCUUCAAUUAGCAAUUCCUAAUAAGCACAACUCAUCAGCUCGCGUUGACUACGUCUCUGCCCUUUGCACACACCGCUCAUCGCUCCUACUGAUUGAAUGAUAUGGUGAAAUAUUUAGAUCACGGUGAUGUGGGCGGCUCGCUGCCCACGACGUCGAGAGAAGUCCAUUGAACCUUAUCAUCUAGAGGAAGGAGAAUUCAUAACAAGGUUUUUGUAGGUGAACCUGCAAAAGGAUCAUUG
Non-coding RNA from Capsicum annuum, 1807 nucleotides. The record is from Rfam. Lineage: Eukaryota; Viridiplantae; Streptophyta; Magnoliopsida; Solanales; Solanaceae.